UGUCUGAUUGACAAGUUACUAUCUUUUUAGUCAAAGUUUGCCCAAGAAGUUAGGAGAACUCAAGAUACUCUUAGCCUUGGGUCAGUCAUCCAAUCCAUUAGGAUAGAAGACUAACACUGACUUAGGGAGGCCAAAAAGAAUCAAUUGUAAGCUAAAAAGUUAACUGAGGUUGAUUCUCAAGAUCAAAACCAUAAUUUUAUGGGC
Molecule: long non-coding RNA, 204 nt
Filed under: Elaeis guineensis (African oil palm)
Lineage: Eukaryota; Viridiplantae; Streptophyta; Magnoliopsida; Arecales; Arecaceae
Description: long non-coding RNA (EGUI_LNC000295)
Source: RNAcentral